Long non-coding RNA from Alligator mississippiensis (American alligator), 2245 nucleotides. RefSeq lists it as uncharacterized. The record is from RefSeq and is a predicted model, not a curated record. NCBI's taxonomy places the organism in Eukaryota, Metazoa, Chordata, Crocodylia, Alligatoridae. The transcript has 3 exons.
ACUGGAGGAACAGUAUCUGAUUCCAAGGAUGCAGCACUUUGGGAAUUAGGGGCAUAGAAGGUAUGGUUGUAGGGCUGGGGAGAGAAAGAGAUUGCUUUUUAACGCAUUAGAUUUUUCUAUUAUAUUAAAGAACAAUUAGUAAAGCUGAAUAUUCCAGUAUUUGUAACAUUUAUCAUGCUAUUGUUCAAAUUCCUGUCAAAGCCUCUUUUCAUUUUUAUUGAACAUCAGUCAAAAAGAUAAUAGCAUACACCACCUGGAAUCCUAUUUGUUUUCAGCUCACAAAUGCAUAUUACAGUAAUAUCACAAAUACAUAUUACAGUAAAGAGAUUCAUAUAUCACUUCACAGUCUUAAACUUUUGCAGUUAUAAUUUUGGAGAUGGGCACUUAUGCAUUGUGUGUUAUCUGUGUUAAGAAUGGGGGCAUGGGCAUUUGGGGAAGGCUACCUGGUUAAAUGGGUGAAGUCCAGAAGUAAGAAUCAGAGUUCAAGGUUAGCAAGGUCAAGGAACAGCAGAGGGGCCAAGAACAAGUGUUAGUCUUUGGCCAGACCCCUUGCUGAUGUCUGGAGCUUGCUUUUAAAAGCAGGAGCAUGUGGGGUUUGUUUUCCUGCAACCUCAGGGGAUUGAUACCCUGAUUGCUCAGUUGUGAGUGGCUAGGUCCAGGGUCCUAUCUGAGCUCAUUAAAUCUGUCCCAAAAUUACCCCAUGCCCAAAACAAGGGCAAUUUUUUUUUCCCAGAAUGAAACUGGGCUAAAUUAUUCUGAGCCACAGUAGAGAUGCACCUUAUAGAUUAACUGAAUCAGAGCAAGAGCCUACUUCAACAGAUUAUUUUGGUUUAGCUGUCACUUACUUUAGGGUAAUUAUAAACACAGGGACAACUGUCAUGGUGCCGCUGAGGCUUGAUAUGUCCCUGCCAUCUAUUAACUGCAGGCACAUGGGGUAAUCGCUGGGUGAGGAGAACUAAGAACUCCAUGGAGCUCUCAGCUCCACUCAUGCGUGCUGCAGUCUCUAGGUUGAAAGCUGACUAGCGGUGUUAGUUUGAAGUCAGGCAGAUGGCAGAGCAGGUGCACUAAGUUUAGACUGGCCUGGGUUAACUUGAUCUGAAAUGGGUUAACCUGGCCUAAUGAAUAUCUGAGUGCUUUUCAGCAGAACCUUUGGACUGGGAAAGCCCAGCCACUCACCACAGCCCCAGCUACAGCCUCUCCCCUGACCAGGCAGACCCCUGUAGACCAACUAGCCCCACCCUGCAGACCCACUGCCCUCCAUUGCACCUAUGAGCCCCUUCCAGAGGCUUGCCAGCUCCCGCCUCCCCCUCACUUUACUUACCUCCAGCUGCCCUGCCCAUGGCAGAACCUGACUUAGGUGUAGCUGGCUCAAAGGAAGCUGGUUAACCUGAGUCAGCUGAUAUCCACACCCAUAGAGCCUAAUUGGUUCAGAGAGAUGUGACCUUUCAUAGGCAGCAGCCUACAUCUGAUGAAGCCUCACCAGUUUCUAGGUUGGGAAUCUCUGACUAUAGAAAAAGAUAGAGAUGUUUGAUAAGCUCUGGCAUUAAAAGAGGUAAAAAAUGUCAAAGGAAAAAGGGCAAGAAGACGACAGCAUAAAUAUGGUCUGAGAUGAAAAGAUGGUAUUAAUCUUCCCUUUGGCUUGCAAGGAGGCACUGUGUGUGUUUAUGAGAUCUUCCUGCACUGGGCUUCAAAAGCCUGAAGGCUAUUCUGGUUUAUACAUACUACUCGGAGCAUCAAGAAGCCAAGCUUCAGCUAUGGAUUAGCUCACACUAAGGGCUGCUGUCUGGAAACUAUUUCUUCUUAGUCAUGCUCCUCAUGCUGGCUGCACAUUGUUAGUAUGGAUGAUCCUUCUGGGGCAGGAUGGGCUAGUUCAAAGGCCAGAAUUAGUCAGCAGUAUCAUGCAAAACAAAUGCACUGUGUGCUACUGGACACAUCUUGCAAUUCAUUGUGUUAAUUCUUAGUGGGAAAUGGAUUAACUUGGCAACAUAUGUUGUAAAUGGCACAUAGUUGGAGUCGGAAUAGCAAUUCAUAUUAAAGAUACACUUAAUAUGUAUUUUGCUCUUUAUGUACAAUGCACAUGCUUUAGAAUGUAUUUUUCGUGUAGAUUUAUGUAUAUUUGCAGUUUUUAAGACUAUCUGCCUUGAUUUUUGUUUAUUUUUAAAUGAGUUUGAUGUGACAUGUUCUUGCGUAACCAGAUCUAUAAGGGGGAGCUGGCACACUGAUGGCUCUCAAGUUAUCUUCUUUA